Molecule: ribosomal RNA, 396 nt
Filed under: uncultured bacterium
Lineage: Bacteria
Description: bacterial SSU rRNA
Rfam family: Bacterial small subunit ribosomal RNA
Source: RNAcentral
AUUGAACGCUGGCGGCAUGCCUUACACAUGCAAGUCGAACGGCAGCACGGGAGCAAUCCUGGUGGCGAGUGGCGAACGGGUGAGUAAUGUAUCGGAACGUACCUUUCAGUGGGGGAUAACGUAGCGAAAGUUACGCUAAUACCGCAUAUUCUGUGAGCAGGAAAGCAGGGGAUCGCAAGACCUUGCGCUGAUUGAGCGGCCGAUAUCAGAUUAGCUAGUUGGUGAGGUAAAGGCUCACCAAGGCGACGAUCUGUAGCGGGUCUGAGAGGAUGAUCCGCCACACUGGAACUGAGACACGGUCCAGACUCCUACGGGAGGCAGCAGUGGGGAAUUUUGGACAAUGGGCGCAAGCCUGAUCCAGCAAUGCCGCGUGCGGGAAGAAGGCCUCGGUUGUAA